This 467-nucleotide ribosomal RNA is filed under the name uncultured bacterium. Its description in RNAcentral is "partial 16S ribosomal RNA". It matches the Rfam family "Bacterial small subunit ribosomal RNA", at positions 29 to 507 of the family's 1533-position model. The record is from RNAcentral.
AGUGAACGCUGGCGGUAGGCCUAACACAUGCAAGUCGAACGGCAGCACAGUAAGAGCUUGCUCUUACGGGUGGCGAGUGGCGGACGGGUGAGGAAUACAUCGGAAUCUACUUUUUCGUGGGGGAUAACGUAGGGAAACUUACGCUAAUACCGCAUACGACCUACGGGUGAAAGCAGGGGAUCUUCGGACAUGGCGCGAAUGGAUGGGCCGAUGUCGGAUUAGCUAGUUGGCGAGGUAAAGGCCCACCAAAGCGACGAUGCGUAGCUGGUCUGAGAGGGUGAACGGUCACACGGGAACUGAGACACGGUCCAGACUCCUACGGGAGGCAGCAGUGGGGAAUAGUGCAAAAUUGAGGGAACUAUGAAGCAGCGACGCCGCGAGAGCGAUGAAGGAAGUCGUUUCGGAAAAAGCUGUUCUAUGGGAAGAAAAGGACUGUACCAUAGGAGAAAGCUCCGGCUAAAUACGUG